UUUUUUUUUUUUUUUUUUUAACAUAAGUAAGAGAUUCUAAACCUGAACCAUCCACUUGUAAUUCCUUUCGACUUAUCAUCUAACUUAACCGUCCCACCACCAAGAGGGGCAUCAUUUGGUGACAGCAAAACUGAAAAAGAAUCCCACGGGUCUACCAAACAUUUUUGCGUUUUCGGACAUGAAGACAAGACGCCUUGGAAUAUCUAUUGGCGAAGCAUUAAUCAUAUCUGUUACCAUCGUCGCUUUAAACGUUGAUUGGAAUUAUUUGGGUAAGCAAGAAAGGUAGGUGAUCUUGAAUUUCUAUACGUGUAAACAUAAGAUAAUAUUAGAACAGCCCUUCACCAAAUCAAAGCAAAAAAAAUCAAAAGAUAUGGUGAUAAAAUGCUCGGCUGGGUGGAUGGGUACUUUAGCACGCUCAAAGUUUUGCCACUAUUAAUACAUAUUCCAUAAAGUGGAUCAGACAAGUGGCAAAAUUCGUCGCAAAACGAAGUGGAAAGUCGGAAGACCUUUUAAGCUGUCGAGCUUAGAAUAGUCCACUAGAUGAUUCCGCUUCUUUUAAGUUUUAACCACGAGGGUGGAUGGAUGGAUGUAUAGUACUUUUGCUUUUGCGUCUCCAGCGAUGGACUGAUUAUGAGCCGAAAAGGAUCCUUGAAAACUUUAGUGAAUAACGUCCGACUUUAAAGAAGCGCCUUUAAUGCUGGCUACAGAAGAAUGGAGCUUUAAUUCAUGUAGUAAUAGUACAUAAUUCAGCUGUUACAACUUGUAAAUAAAACCAUAAUGGAACAAACACUUUCUUAAUAAAGUUGAUCCAGACAUUUUCCCAGAAGUUGCUGACUGUCAUACAAUACCCGGAUUUUCAAGAACUCCUGCACCAGAACUAGGCCCAGCCCAGAACUUAAUAACACCACUGACAUCGGCCGCUGAUGGGUUGAGAUCUUCUCCAUUAUUUUUCUCUUUGUUUAUCUAUUCAUUUUUUUAUACUUACAUAACUAAUUUUUUGAGCAAUAAUUUGUUUGUGUCGAUAAUUUUAUUUUCACAAGUAAAUAAACAUAUUUAAAAAUCAAGCUCAUCCAUGAACGUUUUGUCAUUCAUAUCAGCUUCACAAGAAUCACAGCUACAAGUAUGGGCUUUGAAGAGAAAACACUUUUGUCCAAUAAUAAGUAAGGCCCAGUUUAGGUCCUAAAAAGGCUUAAAAGCCAUGGGUGUCGUAGACCAUUAGCAUUUCCCGAGAAUUGCUUGAAACUACGCAUUUUAAUUCGCCUUUGCCAUGCGUGAGGAAUUUGUUUGUCUUAAUAUCGUUGUGGUUUUCACUUAUUCCACGUUUGGAGCCGUCCUUUGUUUUGUUAUUAUCAUGUUUUUAUUUGAAAGAGUAACUUCUUAAUAUUUUAAUAUACAUCCAUUAAGAGAAUAUUUUAAAUUCAAAUGAUACAUAUAUAAAGUCAUUAAUGCCAUCUCAUCUAGACAUAAUGAUUAUCAUAUCUCCAUAAAAAGUUGAAUUCCCAAAAAAGACUCCAAUAUUAGAACGGAAGGAGCAGAUGGAAUAUGCACCGUUUUUUGGUGGAUAAUGGAGUACUAAUAUUUACAAAGAAUAGAGGUUAAUUGGGUCUCCCCAAUUUAACCCGCUAAAUGUCUCCAAACAAAAAAUGAUCUAAUUCAGUCGGUGGUUAACUAUUGUAGAUUCGACAUCUAAAUUUGCUCGGAGAUGUGCGUGCGCGGACACACAUUUUAAAGUCUAAUUUGAAAUCCAUGAGGCUGAGUCUUGCAAUUGGCCACGAAAGUGCAAACAUGAGGAAGCACUUUACACUAGGAAUGGUAAUGAGGCGGGGAAUCCUUCCCGUACCUCUCACUCCGCUAUUCAAACAUUCCCUCUGCCCCCUCGCUUGCUCCCUCGUCCCACCCCGCUUUCCCUUGGGGAUUACUAGAAAUUUGUCCUAUAAAGAAAAUUUAGCCAAAUUCUAGCCAACAAUCAAGUAUUUUAAAUACUAACACAUCACCAAGUCAUUGUGAAUAUAUAAUCCAUCGUAAUUUUACAAUAUUUAAUCCAAAAAAAUAAACAUAUAUAUACUAUUUGAAUAUAAUCCAGCAUAAUGAGACAAAUAUAACUCAAGUAGCAAUAAAUAAAAGUGUAAUUAGUUAUGAAUUGUUAAUUGGGAAUGAGUGAAGAGUUGAAAAAGAAUGAAAUUAGGGUUAGUCGUGAAUUGUGAAAUGUUAAGUGUAAAAGAAUAAAAAUGUAAUUAGAAAUUUAGUAUAAAUGUAUUAGUAUAACUAAUCAGUAAUUUGUAUUAGUAAUAAUAUAUAAUUAUUAGUAUAACAAAUAAAUUAAUUAUAUUACAUAUACAAAAUCUGAUAUUUAUAACUAACAAUAUAGUUAUGAUAACUAAUAAUAUUGAAUAUUAUAUAUAUAUAUAUAUAUAUAUAUAUAUAUAUAUAUAUAUGUAUUUUAGAUGGGUGACCAAACGGGUGUGUAAUCCCUCGUCCCCUGUCCAACAGAGGGAGAAAAUUAGCCCUUGCCUUAUAAUACCUGGCGAGAGCAUGCGCUACAAUUCCCAACCCUAUUUCACACUUGCUAUCCAAUAGAUUUAUACUCACCUCUGAAUUUAUACUUCACACUUGCUAUUCAAAUAUCUUUUUGGAGUCAGAUUUUUUACAUUAACACCACAUAUAGCAACGUAUUUGAAUGCAUGUUACCCGCGUAAAAGUUAUAAUUCAAAUUCAAAUAGGUAUUGAUUAUUAUGCAUUCAGACCCCCUAUUUAUAUCAUGUUAGUAUAUAAAAAAUUAUUUUCAUCUUUGCAGUGCAAAAAUAUAAGACAUAUACUUGAUAAUCCAAAGUUGAAAGCUGCCUCUUAUUUUGAUUGUCGUACAGGUUACAUUUUUUAUUAAAUGACUGCAAUGCCCUCGAACUCUUUAGUAAUGGUUCAGUUGACACCAGACGGCAUAGCCUAGCAAGAAAUCUCGUAAUCUUAUCCUCUAUUUUUCCCAACGUCCAAAAUCGCCGCUAAAUCUGACUCUUUGCCACUAAAACAAACUGAAACAAAAGAUAAAAAAAGAGAAAAGAGUACUAGAAAGAGUAAAAAUGGCAAGAGUGCUGCUCUCAAAUGCAAAUAAUCUCCUCCCAUGCUUCCAAUCACCAUCUUCCUCAACACCGUUAACAUCACUUCACCUUCACAAACAAAUCGUUAGGACUCAUCCCACCUCAUGCAAGUCAGCACUAUUGAAUCAAGAUUCUUCUUCUUCUUGUUCUGUUCUGACCACCAAGAGGAGCCUUUCCAUUAGCCUCACAACAGGGUUCCUCUUCUUUCUCUCUGGGAAAGGUUGUUCUGAUGCCAAUGCAGCUAUAUUAGAACCGGAUGAUGAUGAGGAGCUGUUGGAAAAGGUGAAGAAGGAUAGAAAGAAGAGGCUUGAGAGACAGGGUGUCCUCAAUUCAGCUGCUCAAGAGACAGGUCAACAAUCCUUCCCAAUAUUUCCUUGGAAUGUAGCCUCUAGAAAGUAUUUGCUACUUUGACUUUCAUGUCCUUUAGUUCUUUGACCUUGCUUCUUGAUUUUUUUUUCUUUUGGUUUUUGGAUAAAGUUUCGAUUAUUCUUUUCUUUCCGUAAAGUUUUGAUUUUCUUUUCUAUAUCAGUUGAAUUGACACUGCAAGGUAAAGGGAUUAAAAGACUUUAGUCUUUAAGGCUAUGGUAAAGUUGGUUGGAGAUCGUUUCUGUUUUUCUAACACAGAUAAAUUGAGUUAACAAAUUAGUUUUCUCAUAGAUCAACAAACAGUUGAAAUAUUCGUUUUUGCUGGUAAUUAGGCUGCUUUUGGAUGCCGCAUGAAGUCGAUUCCUCUUCGAAUUUAAGAGGCUUCUAUUGAAUCCUAGUCAUUCUUAUUGAAACAUUUCAUGUCAUCGCAAAACUCAAAAUUGGGGUAGGAAUGUGGAGAGACUUGAUUAUGGUUACUUUCAUAGGUGGUGAAUUACAGUUUAGCCUGCAUUUGCUACUACCUCUUGGCAGUUGGCAAUCUGCAAGAAUCUCUUCAGCAAGUAUAGUUGUGAGAAGAAGGGUAAUUACAAGCUUCUGCAGAAUCCUGACUUUUGUAACCUAAAUUUAUGCUGUCGAACAUAGCAUAAUUUACACUGCAAAUUUCUCCAAGAUUUUACUGCAAUAAAACCAACUUUGGAGGUACGAGGAUCCAAUUACCUUAAGUAAUUUGCUGGGCAGUAAAAAAGGAUAAUUUUUGUCCUAAAGGUUAGCUAUGAUCAUCUAUUGCAAAUAUUAUAUGCUUCCUGUUGGUUUCUCUGUGACAUUUUAUGGAUUGCAGAUUAGAAUGACUAGGAAAGUUCAGUAUGGAACAUUGGAGAAGAAUAAUUUGGGCUUACUAAAUCAAGCUUCAAGAAAAUUUUAAGUUACCAAAUGCUGUUUGCCUGCCCUAAGAUAACAUAAAAGCUAAAACAAUUGCGUGUAAUUAAGAGGGAGCGGGGGAACCUAUUUGCCUUCCUAGAUUGCUUUUGGUUGGAAUUCACCUGUAUAUGGAAAUAAUUGGUUUGCACUGACAGAUAAACAUGAUAGAGAAAAGGUCAAGCCUGGCGACAGAGAUCCCUUAGUUAUUUAAUGUACCAGAUCUAUUUUGUUAAUGACUUAUACAAUAGUAGUGAUCUAGAAUCAACUUAUAUGAAUUACUGUCCCUUAUACGGAAAAUCUAGUUAGUUGAAGCCGUUUGGCACAAGUGCUUUCACUCAUGAUGUAAGCGCAAAUACUCAGAAACUUUUACCCCAGCUGAACUGGUUUCUCACUGACUGGCAUGUAUCACCAGUGAACAUGAGAAAGCUUGGCUGUGUUUAACUAUGCAUUCUAAGAUCUAAUGGAUACUUAUCAAUAACAACCGUGCCACUCUUGGUUAUGUUACUAUCUUCAUGGAGUUGAAAAUUAUGAUCAAAGAUUACCGUUUGUGGGUUUACUUGUCCCUCAUGAAAGCAGGCACAUAAAUUUCAUUCAAGGGAUAGUGCUGCAUGCCAGUAAUAUUAUUAGCCAAGAUCUGAAUAGCUUUCAUAGUUGCUACAUCAGUCAACUGGAUUCUAUUAUUUGAUGUAAAUUUCCUUUUGCCCAUGCCCCUUGUAUUUUGUUUUAGCACAUAAUUGUGCUCCUAAUAUGCUUAUCUUCAUUCUUAGCUUGAAUUAAGUCCUUGGCGUGAAGUAAACUGAUGCCCUUAAAGCAUGACCUGAAUGUCGCAUUACGCUCUGAGCUUUUGGUCUCUGUCAUUUCUGGGAAUUGAUUAGCUAUUCUUUUUUAAUGCUGCAGGAUACUUGCAAGAGCUCGUUUACAAGCUCAGCAGAGUAGGCCAGGCAAUAGAGAAGAAUGAUCUUUCAACGGCUAGGUCAGUUCUUGGUCAAAGCAGUGAUACUGAUUGGGUACAAAAAGUUAAGUCAGCUUUCAAGAAGGUAUCCUAUAGAUAAUAAUACUGUACAUGCCUUACUGUGUAGAUCUUGUCUAUAUGCAUUUCCAUGCGUUAAUUGCCUAUCUUCCUGCAGUUGAGCUCUAGCCCUGAGGAGAAAUCCGAAGUAGAGACUUUUAGCUCCGCACUUGAUUCUUUAAUUUCAUCAGGUAUGUUCUGUGUGUUUGCAAGCGUGUUCAUCUUGGUUCCCAGCAAAGGGUUGUGACUUAUGCAUGAAAACUAGUUUGCAUUGUGCAUGCAAUUAAUAUUGAGUGGUGAAAUAGUUUCAUUUGUUGCUCUGAGAGAGCAAUUGAUCUGUAAUUUGCAGUGACUAAGAAUGAUAUUGAAGCAUCUAAAACAGCAUUUGUGGCAUCAGCAUCUGCUUUUGAAAAAUGGACAACCUUAACAGGGUUGGUUGAAAAGCUUAAGGGGCUUUGAAGAAAAUCAAUCUGGCCAGAGAGUUCCAGCAAUACCCCCAGAAUGCUUCACUAGCUUGCUUCUGGCUCUAACUCUAGCUGGUUGACUGCUGUCAUUAAUGAUCGCAAAAUUCUUUUAAUUCCAUGAGCUGUAUUAACUUCUCCAGCUUUAUGGUUAAGUGUUAAUGACAUUGAAAAUUUAGAUGUAAUUAUUCUUUGAAACCACCUCGACCACGCAAUUAAUUGAAUCAUUUCACAUAUUUGCGAUUCAAUGACCUUGGUUCUAUUGAAGUUGUUUCCUUUUUCUUUUGCGGUUGACUAAUUGGUGUUCGCCUCAACCUUGAACGGAAAUUUGGAAUAAAUGGCGCAUGUUGACAGUCACUGCCUUUCUCUUUUGCAUGAUUAACUAAGGGAUGAACCACUUCUUUACGAAAGAUCGCGUAUUUAAAUUUUACGAUGCAAUGUAAGUUUUAUGUUGGUGGACCAUCCGUAAGAAUUCCUAUAUGCGGUGCGUCCUAAUCCAUGGUGACUACUAGGGUGGAACCAUCCAAAUUUUUUGUAUAUUAAAAAAAAAAGUCUUAUCAAGUAGUAAUACCCCAAAAAAGUGGGGGACCAAUUCUUUUUGGGCACUCAGUCGCUAUGCAUCUCAUGGCCUUUUAACUAGCUCAACACUUUCUGCAACGUUUAGACACCCAUCUCCCAUUGGUAUCAAAACUUUAACUGAAACAGCGAUGCUGACUGCCUGAAGAAGCUUGUCAAAGAGGAGCCAGCUCAUCUUAAUCACCUCAAAAAACUGCUGCAAAACAACUAACCUACUGAUAUCCGUAAGCUUGCGAGCCAAGGAAACUCGAGUAACUGAAGAUGACUUAUUAUAUCAUUACAUAGACACAGUUCUGAUCGACAUGUUACAGAGAUCUAUGCAACCUACAAUUCCUUCAAUGCAAGGAAGGUUGGAAUGUUGAAGGCCUACUCUAUAAUGUAAGGUAGUAAUGUUACAAAGAUCUCAGUCACUACACGUUCAACGAAAGACAGCAGCGACAUUAACCUGCUAAUCUAUGAUUUUACAUACUACAGAUGUCUCAUGAACAAUCGGAGUAUCUAUUACUCAACAACAACACUACUGUCAUUCAAAAGAAGCCACCAGCCUAUGAAGGUCAGAACAAGAUAUUACAU
RNAcentral lists this long non-coding RNA (6995 nucleotides) under Coffea arabica (coffee). RNAcentral describes it as "long non-coding RNA (CARA_LNC004481)". The record is from RNAcentral. Lineage: Eukaryota; Viridiplantae; Streptophyta; Magnoliopsida; Gentianales; Rubiaceae.